This 662-nucleotide ribosomal RNA is filed under the name uncultured organism. RNAcentral describes it as "bacterial SSU rRNA". It matches the Rfam family "Bacterial small subunit ribosomal RNA", at positions 1 to 673 of the family's 1533-position model. The record is from RNAcentral.
GGCUUAGAGUUUGAUCAUGGCUCAGGAUAAACGCUGGCGGCGCACAUAAGACAUGCAAGUCGAACGAACUUAACCAUUAGUUUACUAUUGGAGCGGUUAGUGGCGGACUGGUGAGUAACACGUAAGCAACCUGCCUGUUAGAGGGGAACAACAGUUAGAAAUGACUGCUAAUACCGCAUAUGCCAUAUUGAGGACAUCCUCGAAGUGGGAAAGGAGAAAUCCGCUAACAGAUGGGCUUGCGUCUGAUUAGCUAGUUGGUGUGGUAACGGCAUACCAAGGCAACGAUCAGUAGCCGGACUGAGAGGUUGAACGGCCACAUUGGGACUGAGAUACGGCCCAGACUCCUACGGGAGGCAGCAGUCGGGAAUAUUGCGCAAUGGAGGAAACUCUGACGCAGUGACGUCGCGUGCAGGAGGAAGGUUUUCGGAUUGUAAACUGCUUCAGACAGGGAAGAAAAAGGACAGUACCUGUAGAAUAAGCUCCGGCUAACUACGUGCCAGCAGCCGCGGUAAUACGUAGGGAGCAAGCGUUAUCCGGAUUUAUUGGGUGUAAAGGGUGCGUAGACGGGAAAUUAAGUUAGUUGUGAAAUCCCUCGGCUCAACUGAGGAACUGCAACUAAAACUGAUAUUCUUGAGUGCUGGAGAGGCAGAUGGAAUUAAGCC